This 200-nucleotide ribosomal RNA is filed under the name uncultured bacterium. Its description in RNAcentral is "partial 16S ribosomal RNA". It matches the Rfam family "Bacterial small subunit ribosomal RNA", at positions 8 to 208 of the family's 1533-position model. The record is from RNAcentral.
AGAGUUUGAUCAUGGCUCAGAACGAACGCCAGCGGCGUGGAUUAGGCAUGCAAGUCGAACGUGAUCCGUAGCAAUACGGUGAAAGUGGCGGAAGGGUGAGUAAUGCAUAGAUAACCUACCUCCAAGUCUGGGAUAACUCCGGGAAACUGGAGCUAAUACCGGAUGGGGUCCCGGGGUCGCAUGGUUCUGGGACUAAAGGC